CCAGACUCCUACGGGAGGCAGCAGUGAGGAAUAUUGGUCAAUGGGCGGGAGCCUGAACCAGCCAAGUCGCGUGAGGGACGACGGUCCUAUGGAUUGUAAACCUCUUUUGUCGGGGAACAAAGGCGCCCACGGGUGGGCGGAUGAGUGUACCCGAAGAAAAAGCAUCGGCUAACUCCGUGCCAGCAGCCGCGGUAAUACGGAGGAUGCGAGCGUUAUCCGGAUUUAUUGGGUUUAAAGGGUGCGCAGGCGGAAUGUCAAGUCAGCGGUAAAAUUUCGGGGCUCAACCCCGUCGUGCCGUUGAAACUGGCGUUCUUGAGUGAGCGAGAAGUAUGCGGAAUGCGUGGUGUAGCGGUGAAAUGCAUAGAUAUCACGCAGAACUCCGAUUGCGAAGGCAGCAUACCGGCGCUCAACUGACGCUCAUGCACGAAAGCGUGGGUAUCGAACAGGAUUAGAUACCCGCGUA
RNAcentral lists this ribosomal RNA (463 nucleotides) under uncultured bacterium. RNAcentral's name for it is "bacterial SSU rRNA". It matches the Rfam family "Bacterial small subunit ribosomal RNA", at positions 331 to 792 of the family's 1533-position model. The record is from RNAcentral.